RNAcentral lists this ribosomal RNA (412 nucleotides) under Martadoris divae. RNAcentral describes it as "Tambja divae partial small subunit ribosomal RNA". It matches the Rfam family "Archaeal large subunit ribosomal RNA", at positions 1921 to 2665 of the family's 2987-position model. Lineage: Eukaryota; Metazoa; Mollusca; Gastropoda; Nudibranchia; Polyceridae. The record is from RNAcentral.
AGCUUUAAGAUAGAUAUUUAAAGUUAGACCUGCCCAGUGUAAAAUGAAUAUAUAAAUGGCCGCGGUACCCUGACCGUGCUAAGGUAGCGCAAUAAAUUGGUUUUUAAUUGGAGCCACGUAUGAAUGGAGUUACGGAGUUUUUCUGUCUCUUUACUAUUAUAUUGAAUUUACUAUGUAGGUGAAAAAGCCUGCAACGUGAAAAAAGACGAGAAGACCCUUAGAAUUUUUUUUCGAAGCAGUUUGGUUGGGGCAACAUGGGAACAUAAAAAACAAAUCGAAUAUAUUAGAGGUGAAUAAAUUACCUUAGGGAUAACAGCAUAAUUUAAUAAAUAAGUUUGUGACCUCGAUGUUGGACUGGGAAACUAAAAGGUUAGCCGCCUUUUAGGCAAGUUCUGUUCGAACUAUGAUUCCC